Lonchura striata (white-rumped munia) is the source of this 361-nucleotide non-coding RNA. The record is from RefSeq and is a predicted model, not a curated record. NCBI's taxonomy places the organism in Eukaryota, Metazoa, Chordata, Aves, Passeriformes, Estrildidae.
CCUCAGCUUGAUUCAGUGCUAAUCCAAAAUAUGGUACAAUGCUGAAGAAAUGAGGAAAGGGUCGUGCUGGGGGUGUCCCUCACAGCUGACUUGAGCAGAGCAAACACGGUGUUGGGUUGCAUGGCUUCCACCUCUGCACUCAGUGUGGAAUUUGGGAGCUCUGUGGGACACCCAGUGCUGCUUGUUAGCCUGGCCUCACAUCUCAGCAGCAGCCUGGCCAAACCCCUGCUCUUCGUGCCUCUGCUGUGCCCCAGACACCACAGGCACAAGUAAUUUUGGGAAUGCCUGAAGGCUCCAGCUGAGUUUGGAGACCCCAUGUGCUAAGUGCAUAAUCAGACUUGCCUGGAAGGACUUGCAAUAG